This 433-nucleotide ribosomal RNA is filed under the name uncultured bacterium. RNAcentral describes it as "partial 16S ribosomal RNA". It matches the Rfam family "Bacterial small subunit ribosomal RNA", at positions 29 to 507 of the family's 1533-position model. The record is from RNAcentral.
AACGAACGCUGGCGGCAUGCCUAACACAUGCAAGUCGAACGAGACCUUCGGGUCUAGUGGCGCACGGGUGCGUAACGCGUGGGAACCUGCCCUUAGGUUCGGAAUAACUCCCCGAAAGGGGUGCUAAUACCGGAUAAUGUCUUCGGACCAAAGAUUUAUCGCCUUUGGAUGGGCCCGCGUUGGAUUAGCUAGUUGGUAGGGUAAAAGCCUACCAAGGCGACGAUCCAUAGCUGGUCUGAGAGGAUGAUCAGCCACACUGGGACUGAGUCACGGCCCAGACUCCUACGGGAGGCAGCAGUGGGGAAUAUUGGACAAUGGGCGAAAGCCUGAUCCAGCAAUGCCGCGUGAGUGAUGAAGGCCUUAGGGUUGUAAAGCUCUUUUACCCGGGAUGAUAAUGACAGUACCGGGAGAAUAAGCGCCGGCUAACUCCGUG